AUUGAACGCUGGCGGCAGGCCUAACACAUGCAAGUCGAGCGGAUGAAGGGAGCUUGCUCCUGGAUUCAGCGGCGGACGGGUGAGUAAUGCCUAGGAAUCUGCCUGGUAGUGGGGGAUAACGUCCGGAAACGGGCGCUAAUACCGCAUACGUCCUGAGGGAGCAAGUGGGGGAUCUUCGGACCUCACGCUAUCAGAUGAGCCUAGGUCGGAUUAGCUAGUUGGUGGGGUAAAGGCCUACCAAGGCGACGAUCCGUAACUGGUCUGAGGGGAUGAUCAGUCACACUGAAACUGAGACACGGUCCAGACUCCUACGGGAGGCAGAAGUGGGGAAUAUUGGAAAAUGGGCGAAAGCCUGAUCCAGCCAUGCCGCGUGUGUGAAGAAGGUCUUCGGAUUGUAAAGCACUUUAAGUGGGGAGGAAGGGCAGUAAGUUAAUACCUUGCUGUUUUGACGUUACCAACAGAAUAAGCACCGCCUAACUUCGU
This 483-nucleotide ribosomal RNA is filed under the name uncultured bacterium. RNAcentral describes it as "partial 16S ribosomal RNA". It matches the Rfam family "Bacterial small subunit ribosomal RNA", at positions 30 to 506 of the family's 1533-position model. The record is from RNAcentral.